Molecule: transfer RNA, 76 nt
Filed under: Crenarchaeota archaeon 13_1_40CM_3_52_10
Lineage: Archaea; Thermoproteati; Thermoproteota
Also listed under: 1 other name
Description: tRNA-Arg
Source: RNAcentral
GCGGCCGUAGUCUAGCCUGGUCUAGGACAUAGCUUCGAACAACGGCUCGGGACUUCAAAUCCCGGCGGCCGCACCA